UACAGAGACUGCAAGCGCUAUUCGGAUUCACUGGGCGUAAAGGGUGCGCAGGCGGCCGUGUGUGUCAGGUGUGAAAGCCCGGAGCUUAACUCCGGAAUUGCGCCUGAAACUACAUGGCUAGAGCAUUGGAGAGGGUAGCGGAAUUCACGGUGUAGCAGUGAAAUGCGUAGAUAUCGUGAGGAACACCAGAGGCGAAGGCGGCUACCUGGACAAUUGCUGACGCUCAGGCACGAAAGCGUGGGGAGCAAAAGGG
RNAcentral lists this ribosomal RNA (253 nucleotides) under uncultured bacterium. RNAcentral's name for it is "partial 16S ribosomal RNA". It matches the Rfam family "Bacterial small subunit ribosomal RNA", at positions 524 to 776 of the family's 1533-position model. The record is from RNAcentral.